This 493-nucleotide ribosomal RNA is filed under the name uncultured soil bacterium. Its description in RNAcentral is "bacterial SSU rRNA". It matches the Rfam family "Bacterial small subunit ribosomal RNA", at positions 26 to 516 of the family's 1533-position model. The record is from RNAcentral.
AGAUUGAACGCUGGCGGCAUGCUUUACACAUGCAAGUCGAACGGUAACAGGCCGCAAGGUGCUGACGAGUGGCGAACGGGUGAGUAAUGUAUCGGAACGUGCCCAGUCGUGGGGGAUAACGCAGCGAAAGCUGCGCUAAUACCGCAUACGAUCUAUGGAUGAAAGCGGGGGACCGUAAGGCCUCGCGCGAUUGGAGCGGCCGAUAUCAGAUUAGGUAGUUGGUGGGGUAAAGGCUCACCAAGCCAACGAUCUGUAGCUGGUCUGAGAGGACGACCAGCCACACUGGGACUGAGACACGGCCCAGACUCCUACGGGAGGCAGCAGUGGGGAAUUUGGACAAUGGGCGCAAGCCUGGUCCAGCAAUGCCGCGUGCAGGAAGAAGGCCUUCGGUUGUAACUGCUUUAGUACGGAACGAAACGGUCCUGGUUAAUACCGUGGGCUAAGUGAACGGUACCGUAAGAAUAACGACACCGCUAACUACGUGCCAGCAGCG